CAGUCUGCCAUCAGCAAGCUGGAGACCCAGAAAAGCCAGUGGUGUAAUUCAGUCUGAGCCCAAAGGCCUGAGAACCUGGGAGCCGAUUGUGGGAGCUGAGGGCAGGAAAUGUCUGAGGGCAGAAGAAGAUGGGGGGAGAUGCCCAGCUUCCACGUCCGGGGCAGAGAAAAGGGGCGAGUUCUUCCGUUUUCUGCCCUUUGUUCCUUUCAGGCCCUCAGUGGAUUGGAUGAGGCCCACGCACUUUCGGGAGGAAAACCGGCUUUACUGAGCCCAUUAAUUCAAAUGCCAGUCUCUUCUGGAAACACCCUCACAGACGCACCCAGAAGUAAGAUGUAAUCCGGCCAACCCACGGCCCGGUCGGUCGAGCUGACACAAGAUUGAGUUCACCAUCACGUACAGCCUUUAAAACAGCAUCCCGAAGUAUUUGGAGCGUUUAGCACCGGAGUGGACAGCUUAUCACCUGCUGAUAAGAGAAACAAGCCACGUGAAGGGAGACAGCAGAGAAGGCUGCAGACAGUCUGUGCAACUUUUACUCGCGCUUGCUUCUGGGUUACGGAUCAUCCGUUAUUGUUCUUACAUUUCUUUACAUUUUUCUGCAUUUGCCGUACUUUUCCGCAAUGAACGGGGAUCGCUGUGAUGAGGAAAGGAAGGAAGAAAGCAAACCCCGGGGGCUCAGGCAGUACUGGAAUCUCUUCGCCGCCCAGAAGAAUCAGUUCAGGGGGUGCCUCCACACCUCGGGCCGUGGCCAUGUGGCUGUCCUCUUCCUGUAGACCCUCAGCUGGACCAGCGGCCACAUCCCCCUCCUCAGUGACCCCUCAGGCAGGGGAGAAUCAAGGCAGUUUCCCUGAGAGGCCCUUGACCAUGGCGAGUUCCUACGACUGCGGCCACCACACUAAGACCGAGCCAUCUUCCACCUCCUGGAGUCUCUCUGGAUGGCCAACGUGAGCUGCCAGGGAAAAGUCACAGGCAAACAGGGCUCCCUGGCUGCCCAGGAGAAUGGCCAACAGGAUGGAACUAGGGCUGCAGAGGAAGGACUUUGGACAAGACCCUGUAUCCUUUUUGCAGCAUCCUAGAUGGCCAGCUGUGGGGCAAGCUGCUCGCCUGGGCAAGGUUGCCGGGCAAGCAAGCCGGGCUGGGGGCUUGUGAAGUUGGCAAUAGGCAAUAGGAGGAAGAAGAAGAGAUCCUGGUGAGUAUAAUCAGUAGAACGGAGCAGAAACAGGAGUGACCUGGGGCCUCCCACCUCUCCCACCCCUUCUCCCCCCUCCUCCCCCCACCUCCCAGGCCCCAGGGGAGGGGAUUGCCAGAUUUAGCAAAUCAAAAUACGGGGUGCCCAGUUGAAUGUGAAUUACAGAUAAACAAUAGAUCAUUUUUUAGUACAAGUAUAUCCCAGACAAACAACAGAGAAAUAUUGCAUGGGACAUACUCCUGCUAAAUACAUCUACUGGUAAACUUUUAGACCUGAGUGUAGGGUAAUAUUUCUGUGGGCAGGAGCCUUUCAAAUAUCCCUUCAAAUCUUAAUGCUCAGAUGAAAAAUUGCUCGUUUGCUAUGCUCGGAUUAUUAUAUUAUUAUUAUUGCUUGGUUUGCCUGCUGACAGCAACGGUGUGCGAUAAUAAUAGGAUCGCUCACAGACUUGUAGUGAGAUUGAAAUGAGUUCAAUAUAAAGCACUUCUUAGAGGUUCUGGAGUCUUCAGGGUUCAACGAGCUAAGGAAAAAGGAGGAGGCUUUGCAGGGAGCUGUAGGCAGGCAGGGACCUGCCCACCAGACCCCAGGUGAUGGGCACCUGCCUCCCCUGCUAGUGGCCGACAUUCAGUUCCGGGUGGGGCGGUGGGGGCGGGGACGGGAAAGAGGGCCAGAAGCGCGCGUGUCUGCAGCGCGGGGCUGGCCUGGGACGAGGCAAAGGGACCUGAGGGCCUGCGCGGGGGUGCGUCUACCCCCCCUUCGCCCCAUCUGCUUCGCUGGACUCUGCGUUGCUGACUCAAGGGAAGAAAGGAAAAAGAGAAAGGAGGGGGCGGGGGGGAGGGGCAGACAAAACCAACAACAAAGGGAAAUUUGCUGAGCCGGUGGAAUUCUCUCCCUGGACCCAGCACGUUAGUGAGCAUCUGGGAAGGAGCCCGUCUGGUGGCGGUGCGUUUAGCACCCGCACCUCUGGAGUCCAGGGGCAGGACCGGGAUCUGGAGGAAGACCUGUAUAAGGAGAGGCCUGAGCCCCUCCCGGACAAGGUCAGAGGACCAGAGACUGCCACCCACUUCCUGCCGUCUGGCCCUAGAAAGGGGCAGAGGGUGGGCUCCGUGAAGAGAGGGAUGGGGGCGCCGCAAAGGCAUUUCUGGAAAUGAUAAAUCUCCUCCGGGAUAGAAAGAAAAAAGGGGCGCCUGGCUGGGUCAGUUGGUUGGGA
Molecule: long non-coding RNA, 2393 nt
Organism: Leopardus geoffroyi (Geoffroy's cat)
Lineage: Eukaryota; Metazoa; Chordata; Mammalia; Carnivora; Felidae
Exons: 3
Source: RefSeq, a predicted model, not a curated record